GUCGUUUCUGGGCUCUCUGAGCUAAGAUCUUGUGUAGCAUUUGUUCUUUGCAGUGUAAUUUCUGCAACGGUCUCAAAAUUGAGAUCAACGAAAAUGCGAGCUACAACUCGAACUGAAAGCUCCAAGGGCGACGUCAGAAAUAAGGUAUUUAUAAUACUAUUAGCUAUAUUUGAGUAUUAUUGCUCUAUGUUUAUUAUUU
This 199-nucleotide small nuclear RNA is filed under the name Schistocephalus solidus. RNAcentral's name for it is "U2 spliceosomal RNA". The stretch from base 1 to 109 matches the Rfam family "U2 spliceosomal RNA". From Rfam's summary of the family: U2 is a small nuclear RNA (snRNA) component of the spliceosome (involved in pre-mRNA splicing). Complementary binding between U2 snRNA (in an area lying towards the 5' end but 3' to hairpin I) and the branchpoint sequence (BPS) of the intron results the bulging out of an unpaired adenosine, on the BPS, which initiates a nucleophilic attack at the intronic 5' splice site, thus starting the first of two transesterification reactions that mediate splicing. The record is from Rfam by way of RNAcentral. Lineage: Eukaryota; Metazoa; Platyhelminthes; Cestoda; Diphyllobothriidea; Diphyllobothriidae.